UAGGCUUCCUAAGACAUGGCCGACACGGGUCAAAGUCUAGUAUCUGUUCUCAUCAGCUUAAUAUCGGAUACGUGUUGUAUUUUGAGCCAAAAUAUGACUUAUUUGUGCACGUUGGCGGAGUGCUUGAAGCCUGCUUCACCUCCGCCGCAGGUAGACCCGGUAUUGCACUAUCUUCGGGAUGAGCCCACGCUUU
Dermacentor albipictus is the source of this 193-nucleotide small nuclear RNA. RefSeq annotates it as U2 spliceosomal RNA. The record is from RefSeq and is a predicted model, not a curated record. Lineage: Eukaryota; Metazoa; Arthropoda; Arachnida; Ixodida; Ixodidae.